This 1138-nucleotide long non-coding RNA is filed under the name Nicotiana tabacum (common tobacco). Its description in RNAcentral is "long non-coding RNA (NTAB_LNC011597)". The record is from RNAcentral. Lineage: Eukaryota; Viridiplantae; Streptophyta; Magnoliopsida; Solanales; Solanaceae.
AAUUCUUUCCUUCAGUCAGCAUUAGGGUUUUCGACCCUAAACUGAACUUUUUCUAUUCAGUCAGCAUUAGGGUUUUAAACUCUAAACUGAACUGUUUCCUUUAGUCAGCAUUAGGGUUUUAAACCUUAAACUGAACUCUUUCCUUCAGUCAGCAUUAGGGUUUUAGACCCUAAACUGAACUUUUUCUAUUCAGUCAGCAUUAGGGUUUUAAACCCUAAACUGAACUUUUUCCAUUUAGUCAGCAUUAGGGUUUUAAACCCAAAACUGAACUUUUUCCAUUUAGUCAGCAUGAGGGUUUUAAACCCUAAACUGAACUUUUCCUUUAGUUAGCAUUAGGGUUUUAAAACCUUAAACUGAACUUUUCCAUUUAGUCAGCAUUAGAGUUUUAAACCCUAAACUGAACUGUUUCCUUUAGUCAGCAUUAGAGUUUUAAACCUUAAACUGAACUCUUUCCUUCAGUCAGCAUUAGGGUUUUAAACCCUAAAUUGAACUUUUUCCAUUCAGUCAGUAUUAGGGUUUUAAACCCUAAACUGAACUUUUUCCUUUAGUCAGCAUUAGGGUUUUAAACCCUAAACUGAACUCUUUCCUUUAGUCAUCAUUAGGGUUUUAAACCCUAAACUGAACUUUUUCCUUCAGUCAGCAUUAGGGUUUUAAACCGUAAAUUGAACUUUUUCCAUUCAGCCAGCAUUAGGGUUUUAAACCCUAAACUGAACUUUUUCCAUUUAGUCAGCAUUAGUGUUUUAAACCCUAAACUGAACUCUUUCCUUCAGUCAGCAUUAGGGUUUUAAACCCUAAACUGAACUUUUUCCAUUCAGUCAGCAUUAGGGUUUUAAACCUUAAACUGAACUCUUUCCUUUAGUCAACAUUAGGGUUUUAAACCCUAAACUGAACUUUUUUCUUUAGUCAGCAUUAGGGUUUUAAACCCUAAACUGAACUUUUUCCUUCAGUCGGCAUUAGGGUUUUAAACCCUAAACUGAACUCUUUCCUUCAGUCAGUAUUAGGGUUUUAAAACCCAAAAUUGAACUUUUUCCAUUAAGUCAGUAUUAGGGUUUUAAACCCUAAACUGAACUCUUUCCUUCAGUCAGCAUUAGGGUUUUAGACCCUAAACUGAACUUUUUCUAUUCAGUCAGUAUUAGGG